GUGUUGCGGCUGAUGAUGAUGCUGCUGCUGCUGCUGCUGCGGCUGCGGCUGCUUGGGACGUCAGCAACAUGCUGGCUGCUGCUGCUGCGGCUGCUGACUGUUCGACAGAGCUCAAGUGUUGAUGAUGGGAAUUGUUGCCAAGCGUUGUGGCCAGCAGUAAUGGCAUAGUUGUUGUUGUUGCUUGUCUGUUUGCUGCCCCUGUUGCUGCUGCUGCCGUUGCACGCAGUUCGUCAGCAGCAAAUAGCGUCGCUUUGAUUU
This 258-nucleotide small RNA is filed under the name Drosophila guanche. The record is from RNAcentral. Lineage: Eukaryota; Metazoa; Arthropoda; Insecta; Diptera; Drosophilidae.